AACGUACGCUGGCGGCACGCCUAACACAUGCAAGUCGAACGAAGUAGCAAUACUUAGUGGCAGACGGGUGAGUAACAUGUAGGUAUCUGCCCUUUGGCCUGGAAUAACACGAGGAAACUUGUGCUAAUACCGGAUAAGUCUUUACGGAGAAAGCUUAAUGCACCAUUGGAUGAGCCUGCACUUGAUUAGUUUGUUGGUGGGGUAAUGGCCUACCAAGACGGUGAUCAAUAGCUGAUUUGAGAGGAUGAUCAGCCACAUUGGGACUGAGACACGGCCCAAACUCCUACGGGAGGCAGCAGUGGGGAAUCUUGCACAAUGGAGGAAACUCUGAUGCAGCGAUGCCGCGUGAGUGAAGAAGGCCCUUGGGUUGUAAAGCUCUUUCGUCGGGGAAGAAAAUGACUGUACCCGAAUAAGAAGGUCCGGCUAACUUCGUGCCAGCAGCCGCGGUAAUACGAAGGGACCUAGCGUAGUUCGGAAUUACUGGGCUUAAAGAGUUCGUAGGUGGUUGAAAAAGUUAGUGGUGAAAUCCCAGAGCUUAACUCUGGAACUGCCAUUAAAACUUUUCAGCUAGAGUAUGAUAGAGGAAAGCAGAAUUUCUAGUGUAGAGGUGAAAUUCGUAGAUAUUAGAAAGAAUACCAAUUGCGAAGGCAGCUUUCUGGAUCAUUACUGACACUGAGGAACGAAAGCAUGGGUAGCGAAGAGGAUUAGAUACCCUCGUAGUCCAUGCCGUAAACGAUGUGUGUUAGACGUUGGAAAUUUAUUUUCAGUGUCGCAGGGAAACCGAUAAACACACCGCCUGGGGAGUACGACCGCAAGGUUAAAACUCAAAUGAAUUGACGGGGACCCGCACAAGUAGUGGAGCAUGUGGUUUAAUUCGAAGAUACGCGCAGAACCUUACCAACACUUGACAUGUUCGUCGCGACUCUAAGAGAUUAGAGUUUUCGGUUCGGCCGGACGAAACACAGGUGCUGCAUGGCUGUCGUCAGCUCGUGUCGUGAGAUGUUGGGUUAAGUCCCGCAACGAGCGCAACCCUCACUUUUAGUUGCCAUCAUUAAGUUGGGCACUCUGAAAGAACUGCCAGUGAUAAGCUGGAGGAAGGUGGGGAUGACGUCAAGUCCUCAUGGCCCUUACGUGUUGGGCUACACACGUGCUACAAUGGUAUCUACAACAGGAAGCAAGACUGCGAAGUUAAGCAAAUCCCUAAAAGAUACCUCAGUUCGGAUUGCACUCUGCAACUCGAGUGCAUGAAGCUGGAAUUACUAGUAAUCGUGAAUCAGCGUGCCACGGUGAAUGCGUUCCCGGGUCU
Molecule: ribosomal RNA, 1306 nt
Filed under: uncultured bacterium
Lineage: Bacteria
Description: bacterial SSU rRNA
Rfam family: Bacterial small subunit ribosomal RNA
Source: RNAcentral